GUAAAAAUAAAAAAAAAUAACAUAAAAACGCAAAAAAAAACUAUAGAAAAAUCAGUUAAAAUCCAUAUUUCCAAUUUCAUUCAAUCAUAAGUCAUAAACUCUACAAAUAAUCGAGAACUAACGAGUAUCAAUCAACAAAUAAUACCAAUCAUUUGCAAAUGUGUUCGUUCUUCGAGUGAAAAAGUUUUACUGUAUAUCUAAAAACGUGUAUUACAUUGAAGAGAUUAAUAUUAAAGACUAUUUUGACGAAUAAAAAUGAAUAGUCGAUGAAAAGAUAGAACUUUAUGAUUAGUUGUACAAACAAAAUGGAAAAACAAAAAAAAACUAAGCGAAAAAACGAAUCAAUCUCCUAAUAAAUUCUAAUGAAGUGAACUGAAAAACUUGAAUUUUCUACAAAAUAUUAAAAAAAGUUCGAAGCCAGCUGCCUGUAAAAAAUGUUCGAGAAAUCGAUAAUAUUGUGAUAUUGGAAAACAAAGAAUCAACCGUCACGAGCACUUCAUCAACACGAAUUUGCAAGUAAAUACCACUUUAAAAUUUAUUUUCAUAGAAAAUGUAAAAAAUGUUAUUUAGUAUAACAUGACAACACCUAUUUCGUAAAUUUCGUGAUUGAACUGCCUUAAAGCGUUUUCAUCAAUGAUUUUUGUGAUAUUUUGACAAUUUCAUAUGAUUUGCUAGCAAUUUUUGUAUUACAUUUAUUUUCAUUGAUUAUUAAUUCGAAAUUAAAUGGGAGUAGUAGUAACCGGCUAUCGGUGAACUAUAAAACUCAUGGCCGGUGAAGUUUGUUGUUAUUCAAAAGAAUUUAUUUUGAAUAUAUUCACGUUAUUACUGACAAAAAAGAAUUUGUGAUCGAUCCGCAGUGUAAAUAAUCCACUAUAUAAUGAGUUAAAAAAGCUAAGAUGAGUUAAAUUAUUUGGUGAAUUUGUGGGUUAUAUUUUUCAUAAGGCGUCUCCACUAUAAAUUUUUGAUUAAAGAUCAAAUGGAACUGGUGUCCAUUGAUGUAAACAUAGUGGAAAUUGACGUCGAUUAAAAGUAAUAAUUUUAAUGACAUCUUAAAAAUUACUUUUUAAAUCAAUUCAAAUCAUCUACUAAUAAUUUAUUUGGAAUUUGAAAUAUCUAAAAGUUUUUCAGAUUCGGAAUACUUCCAUGUGAAAAACGACAAUUUCAUUCUCAAUUCUAAUUGAAAGCAUUGUUUUCGACAUCUUCAGUGCAUAUUUUAGAAUAGAAGAAGGAGAUUUGAGAAUUUGCACAAAUUAAAAAAAGGUACAUUUAGUACAUUUUUAUCGAAUGCGCAAGCUCGGGGCAUGGAGAACUCAUUUUAAACCCCCCGCCGAUUAAGCGUUUACCCCCUUCAUUUUCUCGGUUUUUGAAAUGAGCCCACAGCAUUUGAAAUGACUACCCCAAAUUUUUCGAUAUUUUCGUCCAUCAAAAUUUUCUUGCCAAUGUCAGAACCUAUGGUAAAAUGAGAAAAGUGAGUAAUGAAAGGUCCUCACUCUCAAAAAUUAAUUCUAUUAAGAUUAAAAACCCGUCUCAAAAAAUAUUGGUGACCAAUAUAUUCCGAAAUAUUUCAUAAACGUCAAGGGGGAUCACGCACGGAAAAUACCAUCGGCCCUUCACAAUAGGCACCGAAGUGUUACCAUAGUGCACCCAAGAUUCAAUAACUUACAAUUGAAAUAUUCAUAUUCUAUGUCAACCAGUGAACGUAUGGGUGUUUUAAACAUUUUUUUCACAAAAUUCCACCUGAAUUCGUUAGUUGGGCUCAAAUGUAAAGUUGAACUAUGUAUUAUUAAAAAAUAUUCGUCUCGGACGCAAUAUUCAAGAAAAAUCCACAAUUUAUAUUUGAACCAAUGAUUGACACAGAAUAUGAAACGGCCUAUGUUGUUUUUAUGGCCCUUUAGUGCAUCGUUUUUUCUUAGGACUAGGAGUAUUGGUUGAUUUUGGACCAUAGAUGACGAAUCAUAAUACUGAAUUGUCCAAAAUGUGUCUAAUUUGGAGUUCAAAGGAUUUAAUUUGUCAAAUUUGGGUUUUCGAGCACAUUAUUGUUUAUAACCAAACAAGCGCUUGGUAGAGACCAAUAGUGCGGAAGACAAAAAUGUAGAGAAGCAAAUUUUUAUUAAAAGAAAAUGCUUACUAAGCAAUGUGAUAUGGUUUUCGGCUUGUGAACCUUCCACAAAAUGCAAAGAAAUCAUAUGAAGUUUCGAUACACAUGAUGGUAUUCAAGUGUAGUUAAACAAAGAACUAAAGCUUCAAAGUGAAAAGACUUGGUAAGCCAAAAAGCGUUCUUCACUUAUAUGCUCAAAGUAUGCCACAUAGUUAUAGAAAAUGCAUAGUGCAUACACCGAUGGUUGCGACAAAAAUUUAGCGAAUGUGCCACCAUAGAAAAGUUUAUUUGAAUCAUUGGAGAGCAAAAAAAUAGCUUAAUAGAUCCAUAACCGGCUAAACUAAAGAUACGUAGACAGCGACUUCUCGUACACACAUAUUGUGAGAUAGCAUUGCGAUGCAAAAUCCAAUAUAACGCCAUUAACCGCAACAGUUAUCGAAAGUUUGAAGGUGAAAACAAUCCACCCAACGUUCAGUUUUCGCAGCUUUCUCGGAUUAUGUAUUUUUGACCCAUGUUGACCAGCUUUCGAUGUCUCUUUUGAUUAUUCAUCGACUGAUUACUAAAGGAUAAAUCGCAGAAAAAGCGUGUAUUUACUUCACUUGAACAUCUCGAUUAAGAUGUGGAAACAUGUUUGGAACACAUUCUAAUAACAAAAAUCGAUAGGAAAAUCGAUGCAUCAACACGGGGAAUCAUACAAUAAACCUAUUCAUACCAAACGUUCUAAAUAACUCUUCUUUAUAGUUGGAGCGGUAUGCUUCGUCAGAUAGCAUACAGCCCGAGUGGUUUGAUCUCCUCAAAAAUAAUUUUCCCUGCAUUUAUUAUCAAACAUAGCAGUUAUACAGAAAAAACUUCAUUUUGUUGUAUUCUAAGUUAUCCAUCGAUUCUGGAUUUCAUUAUCAUAUCAUAUUACUAUGUAAGCAUAACGCCAGCUCAAUUCUAGCGCACGAAAAAUGUAGUAAUAGAUUAGAUGCUUUUAAUUAAAUAGGAAAAAAUGGGUAAAGUGCUUCGGGCAUCAGUGCACUCUCGGUUGCGAUUCAAUCGUUUACCGAGUUGCAACGUAUACAAAUACAUCUAAGCCUCGAUACAAACUCAUAAUAGAGACAAUGUAAGCAAUGCGAAAUAGAAACAACAACAAAAAGUUGUUGUAGAAAAAAAUAUUUUGCAUCACAUUUAUUCAUACAAAUGAGCUUACGUACUGAGGCUUGCGUCGAGCCAGUUUUUCGGUUUGAAAAACGACUUUGAAGAGUUCGCUUAAGGCAACAGCAACAUAUGAAAGGAGGUACAGUCGAGCUGCACAGCAAAAGUUGUAAAAUGAAACGAGUGAAAAACGACGACGACGACGACGACGACGACAACAACAAAAUGCUUAAGUAUAUGUGUGCAAUCUAUCCAACCGUAAUAUGGCUGUGCUAUUCAUAGAAAAUGUUUAGUGCGCGUAGCAUUUUUUAUUUAAUAUCGCUUGAUUGAAAACAUAGAUGAUUUGAAAUGGGAAUUUUUCUUGAAUCGAAUCGCAACAUUCGAUUAUUAUCCAUUCGAAUCAAUAUGAAUUGAUCUGCGAACAAUCUUUUCUGUCGUUUUCAAUUAAAGGUUUCAAAUUAAGGAUGAGCUACAAAGACGUUAAAAUUUUUCGGUAGUAAAGAUUCUUUUCGAACGCUAUUCUACAUACAUGUAGAUGGCACAAAUACAUUCGUACACAAUCGGUGCGAACGAGAGGUAAAUAUGGUAUUGUGAGAGAAACAACGGUAUGUGUUAAACUCAAACAGCAAUCCAAUAUGGUGUCUAUAUCCGAGAAGUGGGUUUAAGGUGUCGUCGUCGUGUCGUUGUCGCGCGGCUAAAGUACAAUAAAUUGUUUACUUUUGUGUAAUUUUCCAAUAAAUUUGUCAUCAAAACUACAAGAAAAACAUAACAUCAUACAAACUAUUCAACGUAAUUAAACAAAUGACAAACAAUAGUUUGCAGCAAAGGCAAAGUGAAGCGCAAAACGAAACAAAACAAAUUGUGAAAGAAGUGAAUCAAGAAUAUCUAACAUUAGCUGGUCAAUAUUUCAUGAACGUUUUCUGGGAUGAAGUUGAAUAAAUCCAACUGAAAAUUCAAAUAAAUAAUCAAUAGUGUGCAAUUUUGAUAGUUGAAAUCCCCUAAAACGUUGUUAAGGGACGAGAGCCUACAACAGAAAUUUAAUUAACUAAUUAUUACUGUUGAAAUGCAGAAAAAACAACAACAACAACAACAACAAUGUUAAUGUCCUUCUUAAGAGAGAAAUAUAAUUAGAAACAAUUUUCAUCUUUCUCCUUUUUUGCUAAAUCAGUGACUUUUGUGAGUUUUUUUUAUGGACAUUACUUCGAUCGUUCAAUCAAAUGUUGAAACUAUACUGGCAAUCAAAUGAAUGGGCAACACACCGAAUGACAUUUCAAGACUAUUGAAUUGGAAAUCGCUCGGGUGUAAGUUUCGAUUAAAAUUUGUGAAUUAGCAAGUAAUUUACCAUUGAAUAAGUAAUCGGACUGUGACAUAUAGAAAUCUAAUUCAAAAAUAAACAAAAGACCUGUGGAAAAUUGUGGAACACUUCAUGAACAUUCUCUUUCGUGCACUUGAAAAACAUUGAUUCGUAAAUCGUCUUUGAGUGGAUUUAUGUUCAAAUUGUGGAUUUAACUGAGAAAAAACUUAUGAUUCAAGGUAAUUGAUAUUUCAACGCAUUCAAAAUGUAUAUAGAAUUGAUAAAAUGAAAUGUUUGGGGGACUUUUGUUGAUUUUCUAUAGUCGCUGAGAAAUACUUGUUUAUUCAACUGCUUAUAAAUUGUGAGAAUGUCGUCACUUUUCCUUUUUUCUAUUUCCAUUUUGCACGGAUUGCAUACUUGACAUAUCCCAGAUCGAAAUAGAAACUGUUUAUUGCUUGUCUUUAGCUUAAUAAAACCAAAUUGCAAUUUGGUGGACGAACCACAAUUUUCAAAGUGUGAGCAAAUUUUGAUUUCGAAAUUGAUUAAUGAAAUAAUUUGUAUUAGGCGAUUUCGGUCAAAUAUAGGAUUAUUCAACAGAUUUUCGUGGAUUUGACAAAAAAAAAACGUAAUAUGGAGCGACUUGUGUUAUUGUUUUUAGUAGCCGUUAAGUUGCCCUUUUCAAUAUUCCGAAUUUGCUACGGAAACGUAAUGUAAUGGUGUUGGAUGCAUACAUACAUGCUAACAUUGCAUACGUACGUACAUACGUACAUACGUACAUAUGUAUAUGUAUGUACAGUAUUUUCUGAGCUAAGGGUCCUUCAGGCACUACUAUUAACGAGCAAAACUUGACAACCUUGUGUUUGUCGUCCAAAUUAUUCUUUUCAAAAUCCAAACAAAUUUAAUUCGGGACUCUGUUUUAUUCGUAUCGACAGAACCAUUAUUCAGAUUAUUGGUGCUAUGUUUUACAUUCAUUACAUUUGUGAAAAAUUAUGCUCAAGUUUAAGUAAGUUAAUACAUCGCUAUUUGAGUGUAUGUGUGAAAACGAUUGUAGCGCUCCCAUGCGUACAAAAACCCGUCUUCUUUGUAUUGUAUUUAUGUAUGUGAAAAAGACUGUGCACAGCAGAGUGAAGAAAAAAGUUGAAAAAUUGAAAUAAACAUGGUUGCUGAAAAGAAUCGACUUCGUCAUCGCAUAGCUUACACAUCGUAUGAAGCACACAGAACGUACAGCUAUAUACAUCACACUCACUGAACAUGAACAUGAACAAAUAUGUUUAAAAAUAUCGCGCACAUAUUACGACUACAGCGUAUACAUUCGGCUGAGCAUACAGACACCGAACAACUUCUACAAUACAUACAUAAAAUCAAACUCGCAUCCAUUUCUAGUUAUUCGCCAUAGCUACACUUUUUCACUGUUCUCUUCUUUCACUUUACUCUUUCUUUCCAAUAUUUUUUUUGUUCGGCUCUCCCACCCGAUUUCUGUAAAGAAAAUCGAUGUAAAGAAGAUGUACUUAUUAGAAGCAAUACUAAAUCUAAAACAGUCACGCUGAAUAUAAAACGCGUCUCAUUCACAAAUGUCUAAUGGUCACGAUGAAUUGCUUGAAGUAGAUUCCACGUUUAUAGAAUAGAUGAUAAAAAUGUUACCAAGUCAUAAUAUGUGUAUAAGUGGUCUAUUUAAAAAUAUACAUUGAAUAUCAUAGAUGAUGCCGACUGACGUAAUUGUAAUAGUUGGUAAAUUCUGGGAUACUUCCAUUGAACUUCCUCACAACAGGCUCAAAACGGGCUCAAAAUUUACAAGCUAUCAACUUGAUCAGUAAAAUUAUUAGUUCAUUUGAAUAAGAUAUAGCAAUUAUCAUGCAAUUUUUGAACAUCCAGCGAUAUCGUCACUUUUUGGGAAUUUUAGUUCUAUAUUUUGAUUACUUUCCAUCAGCAAAAUUAAUUCAUUCCAACUUUAUUUUGGCAUACAAGAUGAAACAUGUAUGCAAGAUUCGGUAUACUUCCUUCCGCAUUAUAAAAAUCGUCAAUGUGUUACAAUUAUUGAAUUGAACUAAGGGAGAUUCAAAUUAACGAGUAGGAUACAAUAUACACGUAAACAAUAUACAGACUUACGAACAAUGGCGUUUCUCAAAACACACCACAUUCCAUAAAUGGGUUUGGUAAGCGUUGUGAGUUGUUGAGUGAUGUCCCAUGCCAAACUAAUUGUAUGAGAAAAAAACUAAAACCACCAAAAAUAAAAAUAAAAAACAAAAUAACAUGUCACCUUAGCAUUGACUUCAUGAUAUGCACAGCAAUUGAUCCAAUGUUUUCUUUUGCAUUCAUGGUCUAUCAAAACAAAUGGAAGAGCUUCUAAAAUUGGAUGAGCUACUACUACUCAUUCACAAGCUCCAUGGAAUAAAUUUGCAACUACAUCGACUAAGACAAUUAAGGGAAUCAAAUCGUUCGUACGCUUGCACAUUGUAUAACCUAUGUUUUAUAGUAUAUAUCGAAUCGGGCUAUUGAAAUUCACUCUACAACAAUUUGUGGUUUCUUUCGACGUAUACGCGUGCACGUUUAUACCGUGCAAUCUUUAAUAUGAAAAUGUGCUUUCCAUUUGCUGUUAAGCCGUCAGGUCGUCGGCACAUAGAAUACGUGUUACACGCGAGAUUCGCAUUGAACGCGCUACAAAUAUAUACCAUACAAUCAUGACACUGUAUUAUUUUCGGUACUGCAUACAAUUACAAUUACAAUUACAAUAAACAUUGAAAA
Long non-coding RNA from Sitodiplosis mosellana (orange wheat blossom midge), 7271 nucleotides. RefSeq lists it as uncharacterized. The transcript has 2 exons. NCBI's taxonomy places the organism in Eukaryota, Metazoa, Arthropoda, Insecta, Diptera, Cecidomyiidae. The record is from RefSeq and is a predicted model, not a curated record.